Molecule: ribosomal RNA, 226 nt
Filed under: uncultured bacterium
Lineage: Bacteria
Description: partial 16S ribosomal RNA
Rfam family: Bacterial small subunit ribosomal RNA
Source: RNAcentral
CGGCGGACGGGUGAGUAACGCGUGGGAAUAUGCCCUUCUCUAAGGAAUAGCCUCGGGAAACUGAGAGUAAUACCUUAUACGCCCUACGGGGGAAAGAUUUAUCGGAGAAGGAUUAGCCCGCGUUAGAUUAGGUAGUUGGUGGGGUAAUGGCCUACCAAGCCUACGAUCUAUAGCUGGUUUGAGAGGAUGAUCAGCCACACUGGGACUGAGACACGGCCCAGACUCC